UUGAAGCUAGGUUAAGAAGAUGGGUGAUGAGCGAGCAGCAGUGCGUCUUCAUGCCAGAUGCUAUUUUUGCUUUAAGAGUGUUGAUGUAGAAGUAUAGAGAAGGUCAGAAGGAGCUGCACUGAGUCUUUGUGGAUCUAGACAAAGCAUCUGAUAGACCCCGCGAAAAUAUAGAGGGGUUAUAAAAUAUAAUUAAGGAAUUCUAUAACUCCUAUCAUCCUGAUUCAAAUAAUCAAAUAGUGUUUUCAGUUAGUUUAUCAAGAGUUCAGACUUAUCUGUAUUCUGUUUCAUGUAGAUUACCCAGAAGAAGUGGGUGUUGCAGUGGCCUGGCCAAGUUCUUAUUUGUGCCUCUUCUAUAUAUUAGACCAGCCAAGUGUCUGAAGCCAUCCAGACCAACCCUCUGCCUGCCUAUGUGGAGAAGUGCAAUGCCCAGAUUGCUGACAUUGUGGAGCUGCUUGAAGUGCAAUGCUAUGAUAAAAAGAGGACGCAGCCCAAGGCAGCAGGGUGCGGCCGUAGUCGUAGGAGAAGGAGAGAGGGCCCUCGGUCCGUGGGUGGCAGACUUCUUCCAGGUGGUAGCAAGACGCCAGCUAAAACGCUUAAGGUGGAGUUUGGAGCUCCGCCCUCGCAGGUGGUAGCGGAGUGGCGGAGGACACUAUGUGAGUACGCUGUCGGCCUGGCCCCACUGGUGGAGUUCGGCACUUUUAGCAGCCUUAAGUGUGGCGGAGACUGAUUGGGACCCUUGGGGGCUUCAGCUCGCGGACUGAGGACUGGACUUUUGUUAUCCUUAGUUUUAUGUUUUUUUUAAUUAUUCUUUUCCCUGAUCAGGGUAUUUU
RNAcentral lists this long non-coding RNA (830 nucleotides) under Oreochromis niloticus (Nile tilapia). RNAcentral describes it as "lncRNA (ENSONIG00000038427.1)". The record is from RNAcentral. Lineage: Eukaryota; Metazoa; Chordata; Actinopteri; Cichliformes; Cichlidae.